RNAcentral lists this ribosomal RNA (259 nucleotides) under uncultured bacterium. RNAcentral describes it as "partial 16S ribosomal RNA". It matches the Rfam family "Bacterial small subunit ribosomal RNA", at positions 524 to 777 of the family's 1533-position model. The record is from RNAcentral.
GACGGAGGAUGCAAGCGUUAUCCGGAAUUAUUGGGCGUAAAGCGUCCGCAGGUGGCUGUUCAAGUCUGCUGUCAAAGCGCAGAGCUUAACUCUGUACAGGCGGUGGAAACUGAAGAGCUAGAGUAUGGUAGGGGUAGAGGGAAUUCCCCGGUGUAGCGGUGAAAUGCGUAGAUAUCGGGAAGAACACCAGUGGCGAAAAGCGCUCUACUGGGCCAUAACUGACACUGAGGGGACGAAAAGCUAGGGGGAGCGAAAAGGG